This is a long non-coding RNA of Numida meleagris (helmeted guineafowl), 333 nucleotides long. RefSeq lists it as uncharacterized. The transcript has 3 exons. NCBI's taxonomy places the organism in Eukaryota, Metazoa, Chordata, Aves, Galliformes, Numididae. The record is from RefSeq and is a predicted model, not a curated record.
CCCAAAGCUCCCGGUGCAGCCGCCCUCGGGCCGGGCCCGGCUCCUCCAGCGGCACGCAAACGGACCCCGUGGCUGCAAGGUCCGCAACCGCUCCGUUUGGGGCACACAGAGCUCUGCCCCCCUGCAGCUGCUGCCUGGGCAGGGACGUGACAGCGCAGGGCAGGGGACAAAGCCCCACCAUCUCUGCAGUCUCCCAGCACCGGAGCGCAGCACCCUCCUGGAGCAGCACAUCCCUCGGCCACGCCGGGCCUGCAGGUUGGUGACUCCGGAGAGGUGGCUCUGAGCCGCGAGGGGACACAGGGGACAGGAGUGCCGAGCCAAAAGAAGCCAGGG